AGAGUUUGAUCCUGGCUCAGGAUGAACGCUAGCGGGAGGCCUAACACAUGCAAGCCGAGCGGUAUUGUUUCUUCGGAAACGAGAGAGCGGCGCACGGGUGCGGAACACGUGUGCAACCUGCCUUUAUCUGGGGGAUAGCCUUUCGAAAGGAAGAUUAAUACCCCAUAAUAUUUUGAAUGGCAUCAUUUAAAAUUGAAAACUCCGGUGGAUAGAGAUGGGCACGCGCAAGAUUAGAUAGUUGGUAGGGUAACGGCCUACCAAGUCAGUGAUCUUUAGGGGGCCUGAGAGGGUGAUCCCCCACACUGGUACUGAGACACGGACCAGACUCCUACGGGAGGCAGCAGUGAGGAAUAUUGGACAAUGGGUGAGAGCCUGAUCCAGCCAUCCCGCGUGAAGGACGACGGCCCUAUGGGUUGUAAACUUCUUUUGUACAGGGAUAAACCUAUUUACGUGUAAAUAGCUGAAGGUACUGUACGAAUAAGCACCGGCUAACUCCGUGCCAGCAGCCGCGGUAAUACGGAGGGUGCAAGCGUUAUCCGGAUUUAUUGGGUUUAAAGGGUCCGUAGGCGGAUCCGUAAGUCAGUGGUGAAAUCUCAUAGCUUAACUAUGAAACUGCCAUUGAUACUGCGGGUCUUGAGUAAGGUAGAAGUAGCUGGAAUAAGUAGUGUAGCGGUGAAAUGCAUAGAUAUUACUUAGAACACCAAUUGCGAAGGCAGGUUACUAUGUCUUAACUGACGCUGAUGGACGAAAGCGUGGGGAGCGAACAGGAUUAGAUACCCUGGUAGUCCACGCCGUAAACGAUGCUAACUCGUUUUUGGGCUUUCGGGUUCAGAGACUAAGCGAAAGUGAUAAGUUAGCCACCUGGGGAGUACGAACGCAAGUUUGAAACUCAAAGGAAUUGACGG
RNAcentral lists this ribosomal RNA (905 nucleotides) under uncultured Bacteroidota bacterium. RNAcentral's name for it is "bacterial SSU rRNA". It matches the Rfam family "Bacterial small subunit ribosomal RNA", at positions 8 to 916 of the family's 1533-position model. Lineage: Bacteria; Pseudomonadati; Bacteroidota. The record is from RNAcentral.